GGCGGACGGGUGAGUAACACGUGGGCAACCUGCCCUUGAGAGGGGGAUAACACGGAGAAAUUCGUGCUAAUACCGCAUAAACUUUAUCUAUCGCAUGGUAGAUUUAGCAAAGAUUUAUCGCUCAAGGAUGGGCCCGCGUCCCAUUAGUUAGUUGGUGAGGUAACGGCUCACCAAGACCACGAUGGGUAGCCGACCUGAGAGGGUGAUCGGCCACAUUGGAACUGAGACACGGUCCAGACUCCUACGGGAGGCAGCAGUGGGGAAUAUUGCACAAUGGGGGAAACCCUGAUGCAGCAACGCCGCGUGAGCGAUGAAGGCCUUCGGGUUGUAAAGCUCUGUCUUCGCUGACGAUAAUGACGGUAAGCGAGGAGGAAGCCACGGCUAACUACGUGCCAGCAGCCGCGGUAAUACGUAGGUGGCAAGCGUUGUCCGGAAUUAUUGGGCGUAAAGGAUGCGUAGGCGGUUCAUUAAGUGGGAUGUGAAAUACCCGGGCUCAACUCGGGAAGUGCAUUCCAAACUGGUGAGCUAGAGUGCAGGAGAGGAAAGUGGAAUUCCCAGUGUAGCGGUGAAAUGCGUAGAGAUUGGGAGGAACACCAGUGGCGAAGGCGACUUUCUGGACUGUAACUGACGCUGAGGCAUGAAAGUGUGGGGAGCAAACAGGAUUAGAUACCCUGGUAGUCCACACCGUAAACUAUGAGUACUAGGUGUAGGGGGCGAAGCCCUCUGUGCCGCAGUUAACACAAUAAGUACUCCGCCUGGGAAGUACGAUCGCAAGAUUAAAACUCAAAGGAAUUGACGGGGGCCCGCACAAGCAGCGGAGCAUGUGGUUUAAUUCGAAGCAACGCGAAGAACCUUACCAAGGCUUGACAUCCUAAGAACCAGAAAGAAGUUCUUGGGUGCCCUUCGG
This 907-nucleotide ribosomal RNA is filed under the name uncultured bacterium. RNAcentral describes it as "bacterial SSU rRNA". It matches the Rfam family "Bacterial small subunit ribosomal RNA", at positions 97 to 1024 of the family's 1533-position model. The record is from RNAcentral.